Molecule: microRNA, 22 nt
Filed under: Ixodes scapularis (black-legged tick)
Lineage: Eukaryota; Metazoa; Arthropoda; Arachnida; Ixodida; Ixodidae
Also listed under: 1 other name
Description: Isc-Mir-375_5p* (star (passenger))
Source: RNAcentral
ACUCGAGCUGCCCGUGCAAAAC